Molecule: ribosomal RNA, 428 nt
Filed under: uncultured bacterium
Lineage: Bacteria
Description: bacterial SSU rRNA
Rfam family: Bacterial small subunit ribosomal RNA
Source: RNAcentral
GUAGGGAAUAUUGCACAAUGGAGGAAACUCUGAUGCAGCGACGCCGCGUGAGCGAUGAAGGCCUUCGGGUUGUAAAGCUCUGUCGCAUGGGAAUAAGACAGUGAAUGUACCAUGCAAGAAAGGAUCGGCUAACUUCGUGCCAGCAGCCGCGGUAAGACGAGGGAUCCUAGCGUUGUUCGGAAUUAUUGGGCGUAAAGCGGGUGCAUGUGGCUUUGUAAGUCAGGUGUGAAAGCCCAGGGCUCAACCCUGGAAGUGCAUUUGAUACUGCGAAGCUUGAGUGCUGGAGAGGUAAGUAGAAUUCCUGGUGUAGUGGUGAAAUACGUAGAUAUCAGGAGGAAUACCGGAGGCGAAGGCGGCUUACUGGCCAGACACUGACACUCAGACCCGAAAGCGUGGGGAUCAAACAGGAUUAGAUACCCUAGUAGUCC